RNAcentral lists this ribosomal RNA (482 nucleotides) under uncultured bacterium. RNAcentral's name for it is "partial 16S ribosomal RNA". It matches the Rfam family "Bacterial small subunit ribosomal RNA", at positions 30 to 507 of the family's 1533-position model. The record is from RNAcentral.
AUUGAACGCUGGCGGCAUGCCUUACACAUGCAAGUCGAACGGUAACAGGCCGCAAGGUGCUGACGAGUGGCGAACGGGUGAGUAAUGCAUCGGAACGUGCCCAGUCGUGGGGGAUAACUACUCGAAAGAGUAGCUAAUACCGCAUACGAUCUAUGGAUGAAAGCGGGGGACCGUAAGGCCUCGCGCGAUUGGAGCGGCCGAUGUCGGAUUAGGUAGUUGGUGGGGUAAAGGCUCACCAAGCCAACGAUCUGUAGCUGGUCUGAGAGGACGACCAGCCACACUGGGACUGAGACACGGCCCAGACUCCUACGGGAGGCAGCAGUGGGGAAUGUUGGACAAUGGGCGCAAGCCUGAUCCAGCAAUGCCGCGUGCAGGAAGAAGGCCUUCGGGUUGUAAACUGCUUUUGUACGGAACGAAACGGCUCUGGUUAAUACCCGGGGCUAAUGACGGUACCGUAAGAAUAAGCACCGGCUAACUACGUG